This 286-nucleotide ribosomal RNA is filed under the name uncultured soil bacterium. RNAcentral describes it as "partial 16S ribosomal RNA". It matches the Rfam family "Bacterial small subunit ribosomal RNA", at positions 26 to 338 of the family's 1533-position model. The record is from RNAcentral.
AGAACGAACGCUGGCGGCAUGCCUAAUACAUGCAAGUCGAACGAACACUUCGGUGUUAGUGGCGCACGGGUGCGUAACGCGUGGGAAUCUGCCCUUGGGUUCGGAAUAACAGUUGGAAACGACUGCUAAUACCGGAUGAUAUCGAAAGAUCAAAGAUUUAUCGCCCAGGGAUGAGCCCGCGUAGGAUUAGCUAGUUGGUGAGGUAAAGGCUCACCAAGGCGACGAUCCUUAGCUGGUCUGAGAGGAUGAUCAGCCACACGUGGGACUGAGACACCGGCCCAGACCU